Molecule: ribosomal RNA, 902 nt
Filed under: uncultured bacterium
Lineage: Bacteria
Description: bacterial SSU rRNA
Rfam family: Bacterial small subunit ribosomal RNA
Source: RNAcentral
GAUUUAUUGGGCGUAAAGGGAGCGCNGGCGGUCAGGAAAGUCUGGAGUAAAAGGCUAUGGNUCAACCAUAGUGUGCUCUGGAAACUGUCUGACUUGAGUGCAGAAGGGGAGAGUGGAAUUCCAUGUGUAGCGGUGAAAUGCGUAGAUAUAUGGAGGAACACCAGUGGCGAAAGCGGCUCUCUGGUCUGUCACUGACGCUGAGGCCCGAAAGCGUGGGUAGCGAACAGGAUUAGAUACCCUGGUAGUNCACGCCGUAAACGAUGAGUGCUAGGUGUUAGGCCCUUUCCGGGGCUUAGUGCCGGAGCUAACGCAAUAAGCACUCCGCCUGGGGAGUACGACCGCAAGGUUGAAACUCAAAGGAAUUGACGGGGGCCCGCACAAGCGGUGGAGCAUGUGGUUUAAUUCGAAGCAACGCGAAGAACCUUACCAGGUCUUGACAUCCCGAUGCUAUUCUUAGAGAUAGGAAGUUACUUCGGUACAUCGGAGACAGGUGGUGCAUGGUUGUCGUCAGCUCGUGUCGUGAGAUGUUGGGUUAAGUCCCGCAACGAGCGCAACCCUUAUUGUUAGUUGCCAUCAUUAAGUUGGGCACUCUAGCGAGACUGCCGGUAAUAAACCGGAGGAAGGUGGGGAUGACGUCAAAUCAUCAUGCCCCUUAUGACCUGGGCUACACACGUGCUACAAUGGUCGGUACAACGAGUUGCGAGCCGGUGACGGCAAGCUAAUCUCUGAAAGCCGAUCUCAGUUCGGAUUGGAGGCUGCAACUCGCCUCCAUGAAGUCGGAAUCGCUAGUAAUCGCGGAUCAGCACGCCGCGGUGAAUACGUUCCCGGGCCUUGUACACACCGCCCGUCACACCACGAGAGUUUGUAACACCCGAAGUCGGUGAGGUAACCUUUUAGGGGCC